This is a non-coding RNA of Megalops atlanticus (tarpon), 79 nucleotides long. NCBI's taxonomy places the organism in Eukaryota, Metazoa, Chordata, Actinopteri, Elopiformes, Megalopidae. The record is from the annotation of a GenBank genome assembly.
AGCAGUGUAGCAUAGUGGUUAAGGAGCAGGGCUUGUAACCGAUAGGUUGCCGGUUCAAUUCCCCACUGGGCCACUGUUG